AGUGAACGCUGGCGGUAGGCCUAACACAUGCAAGUCGAACGGCAGCACAGUAAGAGCUUGCUCUUACGGGUGGCGAGUGGCGGACGGGUGAGGAAUACAUCGGAAUCUACUUUUUCGUGGGGGAUAACGUAGGGAAACUUACGCUAAUACCGCAUACGCCCUACGGGUGAAAGCAGGGGAACUUCGGACCUUGCGCGUAUGAAUGUGCCGAUGGCGGAUUAGCUAGUUGGCGGGGGAAAGGCCCAGCAAGGCGUCGAUGGGUAGCUGGCCUGAGAGGGUGACCGGCCACGGUGGGACUGAGAUACGGCCCAGCGUCCUACGGGAGGCAGCAGGGGGGAAUAUUGCACAAUGGGAGGAAGCCUGAGGCAGCAACGCCGCGUGCGGGAUGACGGCCUGCGGGUUGUAAAACGCUUUCGCCUGUGACGAAGCGUGAGUGACGGUAAUGGGUAAAGAAGCACCGGCUAACUACGUG
Molecule: ribosomal RNA, 472 nt
Filed under: uncultured bacterium
Lineage: Bacteria
Description: partial 16S ribosomal RNA
Rfam family: Bacterial small subunit ribosomal RNA
Source: RNAcentral